Molecule: ribosomal RNA, 775 nt
Filed under: uncultured Neocallimastigales
Lineage: Eukaryota; Fungi; Neocallimastigomycota; Neocallimastigomycetes; Neocallimastigales
Description: partial large subunit ribosomal RNA
Rfam family: Eukaryotic large subunit ribosomal RNA
Source: RNAcentral
UAGAGAGAGACAUGCGCGCAUAUCAAUAAGCGGAGGAAAAGAAACUAACAAGGAUUCCCCUAGUAACGGCGAGUGAAGCGGGAAGAGCUCAAAUUUGAAAUCUUAAAGGGUUUCCCUUUACGAAUUGUAGUUUAAAGAAGUGUUUUCUGUUGAGGUUUUGGUAAAAGUUCUUUGGAAUAGGACAUCAUAGAGGGUGAGAAUCCCGUAUUUGACCUUUACUUUCAACUUUGUGAUACACUUUCAAAGAGUCGGAUUGUUUGGGAAUGCAGUCCAAGAUGGGUGGUAAAUUUCAUCUAAAGCUAAAUAUUGGCGAGAGACCGAUAGCGAACAAGUACCGUGAGGGAAAGAUGAAAAGAACUUUGAAAAGAGAGUUAAACAGUACGUGAAAUUGUCAAAAGGGAAGCGUUUGACACCAGUGUUGUUUUUCUGAAAAUCAAUUAAAGAACUGUUUAUGCUAAGCUGUUUAGACUUUAUCAGCUAACUGUUUAGUUUUGAGCUUUUCUUUAAUGCACUUUUCAGUUAACAAGUCAACAUCAAUUUCUUUUGCUGUAAAAAAGCUUGAGGAAGGUGGCUUGAGAUUCGUCUUAAGUGUUUAUAGCCUCUUGCCUAUGCAGUCGGAGAGAUUGAGGUCUGCAGCGUAGAUCCUUCGGGGCUAAAUGCAUUUGUGCUAAGUUAUAGCAUUUUAUAGACAACUUGUUGACUAUGAUUUGUCUUGUAGCUUAUUCGCUUAUGUUAUUUUACCUACGCUUAGGAUGUUGAGCGCAUGUCUCUCUCU